RNAcentral lists this ribosomal RNA (387 nucleotides) under uncultured bacterium. Its description in RNAcentral is "bacterial SSU rRNA". It matches the Rfam family "Bacterial small subunit ribosomal RNA", at positions 28 to 416 of the family's 1533-position model. The record is from RNAcentral.
GACGAACGCUGGCGGCGUGCUUAACACAUGCAAGUCGAGCGGUAAGGCCCUUUCGGGGGUACACGAGCGGCGAACGGGUGAGUAACACGUGGGUGACCGCCCUCAGCUCUGGGAUAAGCCUGGGAAACUGGGUCUAAUACUGGAUAUGACUCCACGGUGCAUGUCGUGGGGUGGAAAGCCUUGUGCGGCUGAGGAUGGGCCCGCGGCCUAUCAGCUUGUUGGUGGGGUGAUGGCCUACCAAGGCGACGACGGGUAGCCGGCCUGAGAGGGCGACCGGCCACACUGGGACUGAGACACGGCCCAGACUCCUACGGGAGGCAGCAGGUGGGGAAUCUUGCGCAAUGGGCGAAAGCCUGACGCAGCGACGCCGCGUGAGGGAUGACGGCU